Paramuricea clavata is the source of this 363-nucleotide non-coding RNA. Lineage: Eukaryota; Metazoa; Cnidaria; Anthozoa; Malacalcyonacea; Plexauridae. The record is from the annotation of a GenBank genome assembly.
GCAAAAUUCCGCCACGAGGAACCUGUGACUUAAUGCGUCAUACAAUGUUUACAAUUUUAAUUGUUUAACUCGUUGUAUUUACAUUAGUAUUUCCCUAAAUCUUGAAUGCGCAAUUUGAAAAACGUGACAAGGAUUUGGUUUUAACUAGGCCUCGACAAAAGCUCUCAUGGAUUCAACCAGAACGACUCUCGAAGUGUCAAAGGAGCAGAAGCAUUUGCUAACAAAACAAUCGAAUUAUCAAGGCAUAACGUUGACAUUUGGCUGGAGAAACUUUCGACCAGCAUACCUAAAGUUUUUGACCAGUCCAAAAUGGUUUAUUGUGAUUAUAAUGGUGUACACACUUUGCGCAGGUAAAUAUGUGAA